AAGGAGAACCUCAUGGCCAGGUUUGUGCCCUUAGUGAGGUCCCCAAGGGGGAACCUGGAAGGACCACUGUCUUCUUAUAGCCCUUCAGACCCCCCCAGAGGCUCUGCCUCCCCACACCCUGGCCUCCCUCCCCAGGCUCUGGGAGGCCAGGCCUCGCCCCCUCUCCUGUGCUGCUCCUUCUCCCAGAGGACUGCAUCCGCCCUCAGCACUUCAAGGCCCUGCAUGUGCCCGCACCUCUCCACUCCCCUGGCUCAGCUUGGACCUCUCUUCUGAACUCCAGACUUGCGGAUCCUGCUCCCCUUCCCACUUCUGCACUUGGGGGUCUAAUGAGGCCUCAGUGGAACAUAGAAUUCCUCCCGCCCUGACAUCAUAGCUCCCGCCUGGGAGGCCUCCUGGAUGACUCCUUUCGCCUCCUCCCUUCCCUGAGAGCAGCCCCUGGCUCAACCUCCACCUCCGUGCUGCCUCGGACCACCUGCCCAGUCGAGCUGCCAUCACCUGCCAGGGUGAGCCACUGCGCCUGAUCAAGGCAUCACCGUUGAACCUCCUAAGAGGAAAACAUAAGGCUGUGCAAUACCAGGAACUGGGAUUCUAGGUUGCCCCAGACACCAAGGCAUCAAAAGCCAGGGGAUCCAGAGAAAACACAGACAGCCAAGAGAGAAACUGCGGGAAAAAGCCAAAAGGUUGAGAGCCACACCAUCUAGAAGCUUCCUGCCUGUGGUGCGGCACAGAAACAAGGAGAGUCAGCAAUUACCAGCCAGCCAAGGUCCUGGAAGCUGACGUAGAGCUCGUGCCGACGGCAGACCUGCCGGCCGUGGGAGCCGCGGACGUCAUCUGCAGGGACAGAAGGGGCAAGGUCUUUUCUGGGGUUCCUGCUGUGUGCAGCUACUAUGGGGUACCAGGGUGGGGGAUGCCCUGAUGAGCACAUUUGUCAAAUAAAUGAAUGACAGGAAACCAUUUGGUCUCAUAAAGCCCAUCCCUGGAACGCUGCUUGUACCAUGACCCAGCUCAAAAGCCUGCCAUGGCUCCCAAUGGCUAGAGUGACACUGUGCCCAGUC
RNAcentral lists this long non-coding RNA (1055 nucleotides) under Homo sapiens (human). RNAcentral's name for it is "non-protein coding lnc-PABPC4-1:17". Lineage: Eukaryota; Metazoa; Chordata; Mammalia; Primates; Hominidae. The record is from RNAcentral.